AUUUCAAAGUGGACAUUGUUCUUGGAGGUCCUUGCCCUCAGUCCAUGCAUCACAGGUAACGUUGACACCAUGGCUGCUACCAAGUGGUUACUGCUCCUCUUCUCAGUAGCCCUGUUGGGCCUGAGCUCUGCUCAAUUCACUGAUGAGGAGGAUGAACAAAAUUCAGAAGAUUCAGUAGAUGUAGAACCAUUAGGCUCCCAGCAGGAUGAUCAGAACCCUGGCCAGCAACAAGGUGGUAACCAGAAACUUGGACCUCCAGGUGGCCACCAAGGAGAUCCUCCAGGUGGACAGCAAGGGGGUCAGCAGGGUGGUCAGCAAGGAGGCCAUCCAGGUGGCCCUCAAGGAGGUCAGCAAGGUGGCCAGCAAGGAGGCCAUCCAAGUGGCCAACAGGGAGGCCGUCCAGGUGGCCAGUAAGUAAGGCAUCUACUCUCCCCACCCCCAAGGUAUUUCUUUGUUCCUCUUAGUGAACCAAUGUCCGUGUUUGAACAUGUACUGGCUGUCAACUGACAUCAUAUCAGUCUCAAUUUGUUUUUUUUUACAGCUCUUUACCCUUUUCUAUUCAUCUGACUCUUCAUCACAAUUCUUUUCUGCCAACUAUUUGCUCAUCUUUGAUUAUCUCAGCAUCAUUCUCCAUGAUAGAAAGAGAGAGAGAGAGAGAGAGAGAGAGAGAGAGAGAGAGAGAAACUUUACCUAUUCUUUUCUCCCUCUCCUUUAUGCUACUCAUCUCUAUCCCACCCCAAGGUCUCUCUCCAAAUUUUGUUGUGUUUUCUUUUUAAAAUUUCAGUAAUACAUGACUUUAUUAUUGCUACUGCCAUUAGCCAAGCAUCCAAAUCAAGCACAAUUUAUCUCCACUAAAACUCUUCCUUUCUUUUUUCAGUGCAUAAAAAGGAAGAUGGGCAUUCAGGAGGUACCCUUGAAGUCCUCAUGUGGACCCGGAUAUUGGGACAACUGUGGUAUCAAGACAUACCUCUUAUCUACUGCAUCAUUUCUGUACAAUACCAAAAAAUACACUAGUAGUUAAACAUUGA
This 1028-nucleotide long non-coding RNA is filed under the name Vombatus ursinus (common wombat). RNAcentral describes it as "lncRNA (ENSVURG00010023835.1)". The record is from RNAcentral. Lineage: Eukaryota; Metazoa; Chordata; Mammalia; Diprotodontia; Vombatidae.